Molecule: long non-coding RNA, 4363 nt
Filed under: Homo sapiens (human)
Lineage: Eukaryota; Metazoa; Chordata; Mammalia; Primates; Hominidae
Description: non-protein coding LINC01128:91
Source: RNAcentral
GGCCAGGCUCCCUCUGAGCAGAUGUUGGUCCCUUUGCAGGCCUGCUGUGUGUGAUGAUUGCUAACCAGGUUAUGACAGUGAUCUUUAAUUUCCAUCAUUAUCUUCUAUGGAGUUCUUCAUUCCCACAUCUGUGGACCUUAAAAUCCUACCGUUGAGUGCCUGCCUUGGAUCAGCAGUCAGUUCGUUACCUUGGUUCUCAGACGAUGCUUGCAACAACGCCAUGCGAUUCGCCCACUCUUGGAGAAAAUAAGAGAAGUAUCCCUGAAGGAUGAAAUAUCCUCGAAUAUGAAAAGGUCUGCUCUCUGAAGACCAACUGUCUCAGUCUGCUUUUUGCUGCUGUAACAGAAUACCACAGACUUGGUUACAUUAGUUAUACACUCUGGAGGUGACUUGACCUGUCAUUGUGAACAAUUAUUGCUCUUGGACGACCCAGGACAUAGGCCAGCCAGUACGUACCCCAGUGUGUUGGAGAAUCGCGCUCGGCUUCUUCCUCUGUGCUGAGUCAUGAAAGUUGCCGGAGCAGGUGCAGUUACACAACCUCCAGACAUCUAGGCUUGCUGUCAAGGCUUCUGAUCAACAUGAGAUGACCGCCGUGUGGUAAACUGAUGAACCCUGACCCUGAUCAACAUGAGAUGACCGCCGUGUGGUAAACUGAUGAACCCCGACCCUGAUGAACGUGAGAUGACCGCCGUGUGGUAAACUGAUGAACCCCGACCCUGAUGAACGUGAGAUGACCGCCGUGUGGUAAACUGAUGAACCCCGACCCUGAUGAACGUGAGAUGACCGCCGUGUGGUAAACUGAUGAACCCCGACCCUGAUGAACGUGAGAUGACCGCCGUGUGGUAAACUGAUGAACCCCGACCCUGAUCAACGUGAGAUGACCGCCGUGUGGUAAACUGAUGAACCCCGACCCUGAUGAACAUGAGAUGACCGCCGUGUGGUAAACUGAUGAACCCCGACCCUGAUCAACAUGAGAUGACCGCCGUGUGGUAAACUGAUGAACCCCGACCCUGAUCAACAUGAGAUGACUGCCGUGUGGUAAACUGAUGAACCCUGACCCAUUAGGCUUUGGCUACAGAAUGUGGAAAUAAGUUGUGUUACUACAUGUGUGUAAUCCUAGGGUGCAGGACACCGGCCGGGAGGUUCCAUAGAGUGAUGGGUUCUGCAGGUAACUCAUCCUCUAGUCCUCUGUAAGCUCCUAGAAGGAAGAAAUUAUGUCCUUUAGACUAAUAAAAUUCCUCCAAACCAAAUACAGCACCUACUGUGAAGACACAAAGAUACUUUUAGAAUAGUAAAAACUUUAUCCAUUGAGAAAUUCCUUAAUGAAACAGUAUCCAAGAAGUCAUUUGCCAGCAGAUUUCUUAGAGGUGCGAUAAAGAAGAGGACAUUGCCAGUCGUCACAGCAGCUGCAAUAGCUCCUCUCUAUUGUUAAACAGUGGGAUAUCUUGUGCAGGUUUUCAGUUGACAAUCAAUUUUAAAGAUUAGUUUCGGUCCCCAUCAAUCAAUUAUUUAUUAACCCAUCAAUAAAAAUUUAAAUGCUCUGUGAGGUACAAUAGCUAUUAAAAGAGACAGAGGCACUUUCUGUGUCCAGAGGGGCUUUUAGUCUGCUCUGGAAAGCAAGAUGCGUGCAGAUGAGUGACGCAGUGCAUCGUGUGGAUGCAAAGGGAGGGACUCACAUGGGAACCAGAGGAGCUACGAAGGGAGGCAGUGGGGACUGGUGGGUCGAGACCUGGAAAUAACACAUGAAUAGGCAACAAAGGUUUCCUUUCCUCUUCCAUGCACUUCAGUCCUUGAAAAACGUCUUACCACGGAAUUCCACAGCGUACCAAGCGAUUCCACAGCUUGAUGGCACACUCUCCUUUCUCAGCAUUCUUGAAAAUGGCGUGUGAGCCAAGCCAUCUUACUGAGAAAUUACCUUAAACCAUUUGAUGAACCAAAAAUAUUUUGUAAUACCCAUCUCCGACAUUAGGUAGGCAAAUCACACAGAAACACCGAGGUCUUCUGAGUCAUAUUUAUCUGAAAAAUCACAGCUUGGGUGCAUGUGAAGCCAGAGGAGCACUCCUGGGGCCUGCGGUGCCAUCACUCAGCUCCCCUGGGCUUCACAUGGCCAUGGAGCACCCAGCAAGUGUAGGCUCUGAGCCUUCAGGGAGGGGCGGCAUCAGCCAGCACCAUCGUCUCCUGGGUCUUGUGCCUCUUCCUUGGUUGCGGUGUUGUCAGGGCCAGAAUUGGGCAAUUCCGGGUGACAUCCAGGUGUGGCUGCUGACACGGAGCACAGGUGAGGUUCACUGAGGUAAGUGGGCCAUGGCCUUGGGCUUCUAGUUCAGAGCACACCAUCCACUCAGCAUGUGAACCCAGCUCCAAAGCGUAUGUGUGCAUGUGUGUACCUGUGCACAUUGCGCAUGUCUCUGUGUAUGCAUGUGCUUUGAUGCAUGUUGAUGUACGGGUGUAUCUGUGUAUUGUGUAUGCACACACGAGCAUAUGUGUACAUGAAUUUGUAUUGCACAUGUGUUUAAUGCGAACACGUGUCAUGUGUAUGUGUUCACAUGCAUGUGUGUCUGUGUACUGUGUGCAACAGUGUGUGCAAGUGUGUAUAUGUGGGUUUAUGUUUGUACAGUGUGUGUAGUGUGUGUACACAUAUACACCUGUGUGCAUGUGUACAUGGUAUUUAAGCAUGUUUGCACGUGUGUUUGUGCUUGCAUGUGCUGCGUGUUUGUGUUGGUGGGAUGUGGGGAGGCUGCUGUGGAGACAAAAGCUGGAGAGAACUUGGUAGAGUAACCCAGGUCAGGAAAUGGCACCUGCAAAGGAAGGCUGGAGUGCCUGGGAUUCACGUUGAAAUGGCCAAUCCGUCAGCUGGGCUGGACACAGCCAUCACGCUGGGCAGCUGUGAGGUUAAAACAGAAAGUCUGGGCUGUGGGGAGGCUGAGAAUUGAGAUGCAUGUAUGAGAUGAGUCACGAGGGCCAAGUGGUGUGUGUGAGAAAGCAGGCACAGCACCACUAAACACUAAGGAGAUUUCAGGGGAGUUACGGGUGGAGGGAGGACAUCAGAUCUACCCUGGAAGUUAAACGUGUUUCGAGUGCAUUAAAUACUAUGGGCCACAGACGCCUUGUCUCCAUAUCUACUCUUUUAUAAAUGAAGUAAAGUUCUUGGGAAAUACUUUUCUCACUCUAAAGCUCACAAUCUAUCUUGCAAAAAAUAUUUUAAAUUCCAUCUCAAAUAAGCCAGGGUGAAAAGGGAGCCUGUGCACCAGACACUGCCAGCCUUGCCUGGCUCUCGCCUUCUUGCUCUUCCUUCCCCACCUGCUGGGGAUUUUCUUAACGAUGGAGAUGGGUUUGGGUUUGUCCUGCUGUGCUCUGCUCCCCAUUCCCGGAUCCAAGGUCCUGCCUCUGUCCUGUCCCCUGAGCCACCUCAGGGAUGCAGGGUCCCCCACCUGGUCAAGUGCCCAGUGCUGUGUUGUCAUUUGCAAGUUCUUCCUGUGACUGAACUCCAAAUGGCACUGGGACUGCUGACUCCACCCACUGGACAACCCGUGUUCUUGCUUUUGGGGUUUCUGAAACAGCCCCAAGACUCUGGGCAUCUUGAUUUUGCUCCCAUUGCUUCUCAGGACACCCUGCUCCUGUGGUUUGCAGCCCCGGCCUUCUCUUCGAGGACGCCUCUGCUCUUCUGCCUCACACUCGGAUUGGACCUUCUUCAGCACAGCCAGUGGCCGAGGCUUCCUCCCUGGGGCUCAGUGGAGCAGGACAGAUGCUGCAUCCAAACUCUUCCAUUGGGUUCCAGUCUGUUCCAGUCAUGCCCUUGAGCCUCUAAAGCUCCUAGGUGAGAGACGUAGCAGCUGACAGCACUUCCCACUUGAUUUGGGUGGACUCCAGCCUCCCCAGCAACAAUAAGAGAUCAAAAGCAUCGUUGAGGAAGCAGCUUGCUGAAACGCUGAGUGCCCGCCACUCUCAGGUCAGGUGGGACCGGCAGGCCAGCAUGAGUUCCUGAACACUUGGUUCUCAAUACUGGCCACAGCCACACUGUAAGGGGAAACAAGAGGGCACUGUAUGCAAACAUCUCUUGAACUCUGGAGUCUGCUCACCUUCCUGCCUCAAGCCCCUCUCCCACGUGGUCCAGUCACCAUUCUCCACAGAGACUACCCUAAAACCCAGCGACUCUCGUGUGCCUGCAGAAUGGCACAGCCCGUUCUCAUAGCAGCACUCCUGUUUAAUCAGAGGGAUGUUAACGACCAAGUCAUAUUUGCUCGAUUUGUGUUCAACAUAUUUCAUUUGUACCGAUAAAACUUAAAAAUAUCCCCACACAUGCAUUGCCUAUUAAAGAGUAUCUUCCAGGUACACCUCCCUUACACAUCAGUUAACUUGAUAAUUU